Molecule: long non-coding RNA, 636 nt
Organism: Cavia porcellus (domestic guinea pig)
Lineage: Eukaryota; Metazoa; Chordata; Mammalia; Rodentia; Caviidae
Exons: 3
Source: RefSeq, a predicted model, not a curated record
ACCAGGGAGCUCCGGAAACUGCACAUGCCCGUGCCCACCCAGGCUGCGAUUCCAGUCACCUGGAGCAAGGCUGGGAAACUCUGCAAAUCAGCAAGCAAGGAGAAUGCACAGAAGUUUGAGAAUGUUUCAUAGGCAAGAAUUGCAGAUCUUGGAGGUCUUUCUGAAACAUACACCAUUCCUUCUUCUCUCGAGGACUCUUCCCUGACAUUCUGUCCCAUGACAAGGAAGAGUAUCGGGGUGAGUCGGCUCUGACUUUACUCACCUGUUCCAAGGGCAGAGAGCAAGGCUGUAUUCACAGGCCAGUGAUGAAGGCUGUGACAUCUCCGGUCCCUCUGCAGUUCUGCCCUGGUCAGACAUCAUCAGUCUACAUGCAGAGGCUGAGGACAGAUGAAACAGCUGACUCGCCUGUGUGAUCUGUUCUGUUUCUCUGGACCUCGGUUUCCCCAGCCAUAAGAGAAGUCUGUCAUAUGAGAGAAAAUCUGAAAAUGUUACCUUCUUGCUUCCCCUGGGCCCAGAGCCUGAACUUAUCACCUGGACUCUGAGGAAGAAUCUGGUGACCCUGCAGGAUCCACACUUCCCACAAGGUGUGGCCACAGAGCUACUACGAGUGAUUUUCAUUGUGAGCCAUUAUUCUGU